CCCAGUCAUAAAUUUCAUUAAUGAUCCUUCUUCCGUAGGUGAACCUGCGGAAGGAUCAUUA
RNAcentral lists this ribosomal RNA (61 nucleotides) under Stereum hirsutum. RNAcentral describes it as "partial 18S ribosomal RNA". Lineage: Eukaryota; Fungi; Basidiomycota; Agaricomycetes; Russulales; Stereaceae. The record is from RNAcentral.